AUGUGAAAAGUCAGCGACCUCCCCUUUCUUCCUCUCUUCAGAAUAUCCAUCAAACCAUUUUCUCUCUCUCUUUCUUUGCUUUCUUGAGAAGAAGAAGAGGAGAAAACAAACAAAACAAAGCAUUUGUUUCAAUAUUCUCUGAUCUUUUGCUUCUUUGCAAAAUUAGCCACAAGAGUACAACAAGUCUUUCUUAACCUAAAUAUAUACAAGUGCAUGUUCUUUACGUCUGUUUGGUGCAAAACAUACCAAACUAUUCUUUGUGGACUAUCAAGAAUAGGUCAAAUCAAGAAUCUGCUGCUGCUUAAAAAUUCUUUCUCAAAGUCAUACAUAGAGAAAAGCAAAAAUUAAGGCAAUUAUAGCUAGGCAUGUGCAGCAAGUUCCAGCUGCAAAAAACAACCAUGGAGAAUAAUUAUCAAGGUGAUUUAGCAGAUAUAUUCCUAGGUAGCAGUGGACAAAAUAUAAGUGGUGCAAAUAAUAUCAGCACCACCUCUGGUGAGUCAUCACCGACUGUUGCUGCUGCUGCUGUUACUGACGGAUGGCUAGGUCAGUUCCCUUGCUAUCCGAUAAAUUAUUCGGCCUCUGGAAUUGAAGAACCGUCAGUUCAAGAUUUUGGAGAUCCGUUUUGUAACUUGAGAGAUCCACUUCUCCAUGAUCUUGAUAUGAUGCCUGCCGGUUCCAACUUAUUCAUCUCGAACAAGGACAAUAUCAACAAUAACAAUGAUAAUAUUAGUCUUUUUGGACCGAAAAUUCUUGAGGAGACUGAAAUGAAAAGUCGACCAACAGGCAAUAUCUUUUCAAGGAUGCUUCAGAUCUCUCCUACUACCAAGUUGGCGGCGAUGUCACCAUGUAAUUCUCCGAUGACUGCUGCCGUAGCCUUGCAACCGCCCUCCACUGUUAUUGCUACUGGUGGUGCAUUAGUUGCUAAUGAUGCAAUUAUGUUUCCUAAUUCUUCUAAAACUUGCUUAGUGGAAAACUCUGGCUUGCAGAUCUCAUCUCCGCGAAAUACGGGUAUCAAACGAAGAAAGAGUCAGGCGAAAAAGGUGGUAUGUAUACCAGCACCAGCACCAGCAAACAGCAGGCAAGGUGGAGAAAUAGUUCCAUCAGAUCUAUGGGCUUGGAGAAAGUACGGUCAGAAGCCAAUCAAAGGCUCCCCUUACCCAAGGGGCUACUAUAGAUGCAGUAGUUCUAAGGGAUGUUCAGCAAGGAAACAAGUGGAAAGGAGCAGGACAGACCCAAACAUGUUAGUCAUCACCUACACUUCAGAGCACAACCAUCCUUGGCCAACCCAGAGAAAUGCCCUCGCUGGCUCAACCAGGUCUCAGCCUAAUAAUUCCAAACACACUACUACUUCAACCUCUAAGAACAACACUAAUUCAAAAGAUGAUGAACAAAACACUAGCACUGUUGCACAAGUGAAUAUUUCAAAAGUGAAGGAAGAGGUGGCUGAAUUACAAGACCUAAGGCAUGAUCAUCAUCAUCAGCAACUUGCUGUGGAAAUGCGUGAUUUCGAAUUCUCUAAAGACAGUUAUCAGCCAAUAUUACCAGACUCAUCAUCGAACCACUCUCACGAGGAUUUCUUCGCCGAUUUGGUAGAACUCGAAGCUGACCCUCUAAACCUUUUGUUCGCCAAAACUCUCUCGGGAGAUAUUAAUGAAGCGGGACAGAAGAAGGCCAUUGAUGCGUUCAACUUGUACGAUUGGAGUGGAAACAACAACAAUAAGAGUCAAGCCGACCCAUAACAAGAUUCGAUCAAACACAGGGAAAAAAAGAAAAUAAAGAAGCACACUAAAUCUCACUUGAACAGUGAAGAGAUUAGGAAAGGAAAAAGUAGGAAAAGGAGUGCUGGUUGAUUGGGAGCAGGGCCUACGAGAGAGAGUCCUCCAUUCCUUUUGGGAAUAUUAGUGGAUGGGACAGAAAGCUGAGGAACAGAAGGUUUCAACAGUUAAAAGCUAGCUAAGCUACAUCGUCUAUCGGAUCAGACAUGACCAGAUAGAGGCGAUUGACGUGCGAUGGAACUCCCAUCUUUUUAGUGGGAUAAAUAAUUGAAGCCUACUCCCCUCAUUUACCAUACGCUCCAACAAAAUUGAAAAAGAAAAAUAGGAGGACCCAAAAAGCUUCUCUAUUUCCUUUCUUUCUUACUGAUUUAACAAAAAUGUUUAUUUAGAAAGAAAGGAUCAUGGUACUAAUUAAAUAAUAAAACUGAGGUUUAAAAGGAAUUCUUCUUCUUUUGUGACAUGACAAAAGCGUUUAAGGUGGUCAUGUCUGAGGUUUUUUGAGAAGAUACGUUGACAAGAUGCAAGCUUCGGGUUCCUCAGCUUUCUGUUUGUUAAUUCCAUUAUAUUAUUUUAGUUGUGUUUGUUUUGGAUAUUGUAUGUAGUUUACGAAGCUUUUGAGAUAAUUUAGAAGUUUUU
Molecule: RNA transcript, 2411 nt
Organism: Nicotiana tabacum (common tobacco)
Lineage: Eukaryota; Viridiplantae; Streptophyta; Magnoliopsida; Solanales; Solanaceae
Gene name: putative WRKY transcription factor 14
Source: RefSeq, a predicted model, not a curated record